CCCUUAGAUGUUCUGGGCCGCACGCGCGCUACACUGACGAAUGCAACGAGCUUAUAACCUUGGCCGAAAGGUCUGGGUAAUCUCCAAAUUUCGUCGUGAUGGGGAUAGAUUAUUGCAAUUAUUAAUCUUCAACGAGGAAUGCCUAGUAAGCGCAAGUCAUCAGCUUGCGUUGAUUACGUCCCUGCCCUUUGUACACACCGCCCGUCGCUCCUACCGAUUGAAUGGUCCGGUGAAGCGUUCGGACCGUGGCCUUUGGACGGUUCGCCGUCUGUUGGCUAAACCUUACCAUUUAGAGGAAGGUGAAGUCGUAACA
This 313-nucleotide ribosomal RNA is filed under the name uncultured eukaryote. RNAcentral describes it as "partial 18S ribosomal RNA". It matches the Rfam family "Eukaryotic small subunit ribosomal RNA", at positions 1470 to 1796 of the family's 1831-position model. The record is from RNAcentral.